Molecule: long non-coding RNA, 100 nt
Organism: Perognathus longimembris pacificus (Pacific pocket mouse)
Lineage: Eukaryota; Metazoa; Chordata; Mammalia; Rodentia; Heteromyidae
Exons: 3
Source: RefSeq, a predicted model, not a curated record
GCCGCCAGGAGCGACUGGAAGCCCUUGGACUGCAGGCGGCAGUGCCCACCUGCGACGCCCCCUCAGCGCCCCCUGCUGGCUGGUAAAGGAGCAGGUGAGG